This 497-nucleotide ribosomal RNA is filed under the name uncultured bacterium. RNAcentral describes it as "partial 16S ribosomal RNA". It matches the Rfam family "Bacterial small subunit ribosomal RNA", at positions 29 to 507 of the family's 1533-position model. The record is from RNAcentral.
AGUGAACGCUGGCGGCGGGCCUAACACAUGCAAGUCGAGCGGACGGACGGUAAGAGCUUGCUUUUGCUGUUAGCGGCGGACGGGUGAGUAACGCGUGCAUCACCAUCUUAUAUUUCUUGGAUAAUUUCGGGAAACCGGUGCCACUACUACCUCAUACUACCUACGGCAUAAAUCAAAAGAGAUUCACGCUUUUGCUGAUACAUAUAGACGGUGUCGCGCUGCAUUAGCUAGUUGGUAAGGUAACGGCUUACCAAGGCUACGAUGCAUAGCCGACCUGAGAGGGUGAUCGGCCACACUGGAACUGAGACACGGUCCAGACUCCUACGGGAGGCAGCAGUAGGGAAUCUUCCGCAAUGGGCGAAAGCCUGACGGAGCAACGCCGCGUGAGUGAUGAAGGUCUUCGGAUCGUAAAACUCUGUUAUUAGGGAAGAACAUAUGUGUAAGUAACUGUGCACAUCUUGACGGUACCUAAUCAGAAAGCCACGGCUAACUACGUG